Molecule: ribosomal RNA, 400 nt
Filed under: uncultured bacterium
Lineage: Bacteria
Description: bacterial SSU rRNA
Rfam family: Bacterial small subunit ribosomal RNA
Source: RNAcentral
UGGGGAAUAUUGGACAAUGGAGGAAACUCUGAUCCAGCCAUGCCGCGUGAGUGAAGAAGGCCCUCGGGUUGUAAAGCUCUUUUGUCCCUGACGAUAAUGACGGUAGGGGAAGAAAAAGCCACGGCUAACUUCGUGCCAGCAGCCGCGGUAAUACGAAGGUGGCAAGCGUUGUUCGGAUUUACUGGGCGUAAAGCGUGCGUAGGCGGUUUAAUAAGUCAGGAGUGAAAGCCCAAGGCUCAACCCUGGAAUUGCUUUUGAAACUAUUAAACUUGAAUCCGGUAGAGGUUGGCGGAAUUCCCAGUGUAGAGGUGAAAUUCGCAGAUAUUGGGAGGAACACCAGUGGCGUAAGCGGCCAACUGGACCGGUAUUGACGCUGAGGCACGAAAGCAUGGGGAGCAAA